UUAUUUUUUAUUUAUACAAUUUAUUGUCCUAAAUUCACAAUCUUACACUUCACAAAUUUCACUGCUCAACCUAUACUCAGGUAAUCAGUUCAAAGUUGGACUAUUUUAACCCUUUCAGUUUUUAGACUCUAUAAUGUUAAAUCCAGUGUUUUAUUUUGAUUCUACAUUCAUUUUGAUUUUACUUUUGACUUUCAGUCUACGUUCAUUUUGAUUGAGUUGUUUUAAGGAUUUUGUGGGAGGACUCCCUUUGGAAUUGCCGAAUGCUGUUAUUUGUUGGGUGGAUGCCUUGGAAGUAGAGUUAAUUCUUACUAAAAAGUCAUUUCGAACUCGGAUUCAGCCAGCCUGUGAUCUGUGCAAAAUAUCCAUAUAUGGAUCAGUGCCAUGGACUCUUCUCAACCUAUGGACCUCAAAUCUCAUAUACGAACAUAAAAAAAAGCCUCCAAACCUCCAAAGACAGUAGCAAGAUCUUUGUUGAUGUGCUCAGGUAGAAAUUACAGAGGAGCUUAUUUGUUGGAGAUUUGAAGAAUAAAACUUAGCAGCGUGGUACCGCCGAAAGUGGUAAUUGCUAAUCAGGUUUCCACUCUUUUUUCCACACACUUUGGUUCAAAAGCAAUAUCAUUUGAAUGAUGAAACAUUAAGUUAGCAUCUCAAGUGAACUGUAUUUGCCACUUCUCUUUUAAAUGAAUUUUAAGAUCAGCUCCAAUCCAUGUUUGUUUAA
Molecule: long non-coding RNA, 718 nt
Organism: Pyrus x bretschneideri (Chinese white pear)
Lineage: Eukaryota; Viridiplantae; Streptophyta; Magnoliopsida; Rosales; Rosaceae
Exons: 5
Source: RefSeq, a predicted model, not a curated record